GACGAACGCUGGCGGCGUGCCUAAUACAUGCAAGUAGAACGCUGAAGGAGGAGCUUGCUUCUCUGGAUGAGUUGCGAACGGGUGAGUAACGCGUAGGUAACCUGCCUGGUAGCGGGGGAUAACUAUUGGAAACGAUAGCUAAUACCGCAUAAGAGUAGAUGUCGCAUGACAUUUGCUUAAAAGGUGCAAUUGCAUCACUACCAGAUGGACCUGCGUUGUAUUAGCUAGUUGGUGAGGUAACGGCUCACCAAGGCAACGAUACAUAGCCGAACUGAGAGGGUGAUCGGCCACACGGGGACUGAGACACGGCCAAGACUCCUACGGGAGGCAGCAGAAGGGAAUCUUCGGCAAUGGACGGAAGUCUGACCGAGCAACGCCGCGUGAGUGAAGAAGGUUUUCGGAUCGUAAAGAUCUGUUGUAAGAGAAGAACGAGUGUGAGAGUGGAAAGUUCACACUGUGACGGUAUCGUACCAGAAAGGGACGGCUAACUACGG
Molecule: ribosomal RNA, 494 nt
Filed under: uncultured bacterium
Lineage: Bacteria
Description: partial 16S ribosomal RNA
Rfam family: Bacterial small subunit ribosomal RNA
Source: RNAcentral